This 468-nucleotide ribosomal RNA is filed under the name uncultured bacterium. RNAcentral describes it as "partial 16S ribosomal RNA". It matches the Rfam family "Bacterial small subunit ribosomal RNA", at positions 28 to 507 of the family's 1533-position model. The record is from RNAcentral.
GACGAACGCUGGCGGCGUGCUUAACACAUGCAAGUCGAACGGAAAGGCCCUGCUUUUGUGGGGUGCUCGAGUGGCGAACGGGUGAGUAACACGUGAGUAACCUGCCCUUGACUUUGGGAUAACUUCAGGAAACUGGGGCUAAUACCGGAUAGGAGCUCCUGCUGCAUGGUGGGGGUUGGAAAGUUUCGGCGGUUGGGGAUGGACUCGCGGCUUAUCAGCUUGUUGGUGGGGUAGUGGCUUACCAAGGCUUUGACGGGUAGCCGGCCUGAGAGGGUGACCGGCCACAUUGGGACUGAGAUACGGCCCAGACUCCUACGGGAGGCAGCAGUGGGGAAUCUUGCACAAUGGGCGGAAGCCUGAUGCAGCAACGCCGCGUGCGGGAUGACGGCCUUCGGGUUGUAAACCGCUUUCGCCUGUGACGAAGCGUGAGUGACGGUAAUGGGUAAAGAAGCACCGGCUAACUGCGUG